Molecule: microRNA precursor, 103 nt
Filed under: Marmota monax (woodchuck)
Lineage: Eukaryota; Metazoa; Chordata; Mammalia; Rodentia; Sciuridae
Source: RNAcentral
AGUGGGAUAGCUGGGUCAAAUGGUGAUUCCAUUCCAAAUUUUCUGGGGAAUCUCCAUACUGCUUUCCAGAGUGGUUGCAGCAAUUUGUAUUCCUACCAGCAAU